This is a long non-coding RNA of Tachysurus vachellii, 390 nucleotides long. RefSeq lists it as uncharacterized. The transcript is spliced from 3 exons. The record is from RefSeq and is a predicted model, not a curated record. NCBI's taxonomy places the organism in Eukaryota, Metazoa, Chordata, Actinopteri, Siluriformes, Bagridae.
UGGAGGACGACAACAAGACUCUCGUACUGGAUAAAAUGCAUAAUGAAAAAGUAACCUGUCAUGUCAAAAAUCAUGUCAAUCGUGACUACAAUUCAAUUGAACUGCCAAAAUUUACCAGUCUCACUGUGUUUGUAUUUAUGUGGGUCUUUGAAGUCAUCAUCCUGCUGUCUGUGUUAGUGGGCACAUUGUACAUUUACCCCAGAAUCUACAGAAAACAGAGGACACCAGAGAGACCAGGAAGCUCUGUAACCCUUGACAAGGAUUAGAAGAGGUGGUCUGUGGCUGAUCUCCUCUAGUCGAACAGCCAUUGUUCUCCGUCUCAUCCAGACUAAAACCUGAUAAAAAUGUACUGUAACCAUUACUAUAACAGUGCUACAGUGCCUUCUGCUU